This is a long non-coding RNA of Nerophis lumbriciformis (worm pipefish), 271 nucleotides long. RefSeq lists it as uncharacterized. The record is from RefSeq and is a predicted model, not a curated record. NCBI's taxonomy places the organism in Eukaryota, Metazoa, Chordata, Actinopteri, Syngnathiformes, Syngnathidae.
UCCCUCCGCGACUCCCUCCACCCCCCAACAUGUGGCAGACACAGUAGCCUGGAUCCAGCCUGGCCUACAGGCCAACAUGGCGAGGGGGGAGAAUGGCUGACAUUUCCUGCUCUGCGGCUGAGGUCCACAUCCUUAGCCUGCUGGAAAAUAUUAAGCACACCCAAGACCAGCUGAUGGCGAAGAUUUCUUCUUUGGCCACCAUUGGAGGCCACGAUGUGAAGCGGGUGACCUGGAACAUCCUGGGCAGGAUGUUCACAGAGGAGGUUUCACA